GACAGGGGAUGCAAGCGUUAUCCGGAAUGAUUGGGCGUAAAGCGUCUGUAGGUGGCUUUUUAAGUCUGCCGUCAAAUCCCAGGGCUCAACCCUGGCCAGGCGGUGGAGACUACUAAGCUGGAGUACGGUAGGGGCAGAGGGAAUUUCCGGUGGAGCGGUGAAAUGCGUAGAUAUCGGAAAGAACACCAGUGGCGAAGGCGGCUUCCUGGACUCAUACUGACGUUGAGGCGCGAAAGCGUGGGUAGCAAACAGG
RNAcentral lists this ribosomal RNA (253 nucleotides) under uncultured prokaryote. RNAcentral's name for it is "partial 16S ribosomal RNA". It matches the Rfam family "Bacterial small subunit ribosomal RNA", at positions 524 to 776 of the family's 1533-position model. The record is from RNAcentral.